This 277-nucleotide long non-coding RNA is filed under the name Vitis vinifera (wine grape). RNAcentral describes it as "long non-coding RNA (VVIN_LNC004226)". The record is from RNAcentral. Lineage: Eukaryota; Viridiplantae; Streptophyta; Magnoliopsida; Vitales; Vitaceae.
AAAAAACAACUACAAAAAACUCCAACCAAAAUUCCAACAAAAUAAAAAAAAAUCUAAAAAAAAAACUGUAAAAAAACUCCAACCAAAAAACAACAAUAAAAAACUCUAACAAAAAAUAUCAUAAAAGUUAAAAAAAAAUGAAAAAAGAAAAACCAAAAUAAAUAAAUAACCAUAAUUGAAAACCCAAACAAUGCAAAAAAAAAAAAAAAUCUUCAACAAAAACAUCUACAAACCCUAAAUGCAAAAAAUCUCAAUUAAAAAUAAGUGCAAAUAUCCC